This 630-nucleotide ribosomal RNA is filed under the name Bacillus sp. (in: firmicutes). Its description in RNAcentral is "bacterial SSU rRNA". It matches the Rfam family "Bacterial small subunit ribosomal RNA", at positions 37 to 647 of the family's 1533-position model. Lineage: Bacteria; Bacillati; Bacillota; Bacilli; Caryophanales; Bacillaceae. The record is from RNAcentral.
UGGCGGCGUGCCUAAUACAUGCAAGUCGAGCGAAUGGAUUGAGAGCUUGCUCUCAAGAAGUUAGCGGCGGACGGGUGAGUAACACGUGGGUAACCUGCCCAUAAGACUGGGAUAACUCCGGGAAACCGGGGCUAAUACCGGAUAACAUUUUGAACUGCAUGGUUCGAAAUUGAAAGGCGGCUUCGGCUGUCACUUAUGGAUGGACCCGCGUCGCAUUAGCUAGUUGGUGAGGUAACGGCUCACCAAGGCAACGAUGCGUAGCCGACCUGAGAGGGUGAUCGGCCACACUGGGACUGAGACACGGCCCAGACUCCUACGGGAGGCAGCAGUAGGGAAUCUUCCGCAAUGGACGAAAGUCUGACGGAGCAACGCCGCGUGAGUGAUGAAGGCUUUCGGGUCGUAAAACUCUGUUGUUAGGGAAGAACAAGUGCUAGUUGAAUAAGCUGGCACCUUGACGGUACCUAACCAGAAAGCCACGGCUAACUACGUGCCAGCAGCCGCGGUAAUACGUAGGUGGCAAGCGUUAUCCGGAAUUAUUGGGCGUAAAGCGCGCGCAGGUGGUUUCUUAAGUCUGAUGUGAAAGCCCACGGCUCAACCGUGGAGGGUCAUUGGAAACUGGGAGACUUGAGU